UUUGUAUUACGUGCGGAAAUUGUUACCAUUUUCGGCUCAAAAAUGGUAACAAUUUCCACACGUAAUACAAA
RNAcentral lists this microRNA precursor (71 nucleotides) under Paramuricea clavata. The record is from RNAcentral. Lineage: Eukaryota; Metazoa; Cnidaria; Anthozoa; Malacalcyonacea; Plexauridae.